CCUCCAUUUCUUGGCACACGUGUUUGGUUGCUCGGUACCCGCGUGUGAUUGUUCGGAGGCAGAGUGAUUAUGUCGGCGCAAUGUCUUCGGUACCAGCGACCUUUCCCGUGUCCUGGUUCUAUCCUCAAUCACCGACACAAAU
Molecule: small nucleolar RNA, 142 nt
Organism: Acipenser ruthenus (sterlet)
Lineage: Eukaryota; Metazoa; Chordata; Actinopteri; Acipenseriformes; Acipenseridae
Product: small nucleolar RNA SNORA57
Exons: 1
Source: RefSeq, a predicted model, not a curated record